This 84-nucleotide transfer RNA is filed under the name Corallococcus exiguus. RNAcentral describes it as "tRNA-OTHER". It matches the Rfam family "tRNA". From Rfam's summary of the family: Transfer RNA (tRNA) molecules are approximately 80 nucleotides in length. Their secondary structure includes four short double-helical elements and three loops (D, anti-codon, and T loops). The record is from RNAcentral. Lineage: Bacteria; Pseudomonadati; Myxococcota; Myxococcia; Myxococcales; Myxococcaceae.
GGGCCUGUGGCGCAGUUGGCAGCGCGCUUCGUUCGCAAUUUCGCAAUGAAGAGGUCAGGGGUUCGAAUCCCCUCAGGUCCACCA